This 124-nucleotide microRNA precursor is filed under the name Nicotiana tabacum (common tobacco). RNAcentral's name for it is "miR172g stem-loop (nta-MIR172g)". Its record names the gene nta-MIR172g. The record is from miRBase by way of RNAcentral. Lineage: Eukaryota; Viridiplantae; Streptophyta; Magnoliopsida; Solanales; Solanaceae.
ACUUGCAGCUGCAGCAUUAUCAAGAUUCACAUAGAAAUCAUGUGGGGCAGAAAACAUAGGUUCUAAAAAUCUAACCCCAAGUUCUUUGAACAUGAGAAUCUUGAUGAUGCUGCAUCAGCAAAUA